GAUGAACGCUGGCGGCGUGCCUAACACAUGCAAGUCGAACGAACAGACGAUUAGCUUGCUCCUCUACCGUUGGCGGCGGACGGAUGAGUUACACGUACAUCACCUUCCUCUUUGUCUUGGUUAACAACGUGAAGCCGCUUCCGAUACCGCAUCAUAUAUUCAACCGCAUGGUUCAAUAGUUCUUGGCGCUUUUGCUGUCUCUUAUAGAUGGUUUCGCGUCGCAUUAGCUAGUUGGUAAGGUCACGGCUUACCAAGGCUACGAUGCGUGGCCGACCUGAGAGGGUGAACAGCCACACUGGAACUGAGACACGGUCCAGACUCCUACGGGAGGCAGCAGUAGGGAAUAUUGGGCAAUGGGCGAAAGCCUGAAGAAGAAACGCAGCGUGGGUGAAGAAGGUCUUCGGGUCGUAAAACUCUGUUAUUGGGGAAGAAAAAAUGUAGAAGAAGCUAUGCACGUCGUGACGGUACCUAAAGAAAAAGCAACGGCUAACUACGUG
RNAcentral lists this ribosomal RNA (497 nucleotides) under uncultured bacterium. RNAcentral describes it as "partial 16S ribosomal RNA". It matches the Rfam family "Bacterial small subunit ribosomal RNA", at positions 28 to 507 of the family's 1533-position model. The record is from RNAcentral.